This 439-nucleotide ribosomal RNA is filed under the name uncultured bacterium. Its description in RNAcentral is "partial 16S ribosomal RNA". It matches the Rfam family "Bacterial small subunit ribosomal RNA", at positions 339 to 795 of the family's 1533-position model. The record is from RNAcentral.
CUACGGGAUGCUCCAGUGGGGAAUAUUGCACAAUGGAGGAAACUCUGAUGCAGCAACGCCGCGUGGAGGAUGACACUUUUCGGAGCGUAAACUCCUUUUAUAUAGGAAGAAGAUGACGGUACUAUAUGAAUAAGCGCCGGCUAACUCCGUGCCAGCAGCCGCGGUAAUACAGAGGGCGCAAGCGUUACUCGGAAUCACUGGGCGUAAAGAGCGUGUAGGCGGAUUAAAAAGUCAGAAGUGAGAUCCUAUAGCUUAACUAUAGAACUGCUUCUGAAACUCUUAAUCUAGAAUAUGGGAGAGGUAGAUGGAAUUUCUGGUGUAGGGGUAAAAUCCGUAGAGAUCAGAAGGAAUACCGAUUGCGAAGGCGAUCUACUAGAACAUUAUUGACGCUGAGACGCGAAAGCGUGGGGAGCAAACAGGAUUAGAUACCCCGGUAGUC